UGUGCCUUAUUUAUGAUAGUUUAAAACCAGUCGGGUAAGGAUUGGGGCCUGCAUUGCUCCAGAAGCGGGACUCCACUUGGCUGGCAGUGGCUAAUUCAACACAGGUCUGAAAGGCACAAGGAAAAGAGCUGGUGACCCAGACGAUGUGCUUUUACUGUAGAGAUGAUCUGUGUGCCAGCCUGGGAGAAGAGCGUCUGGCUGGGAAGUCAGUCGGUGAUUCGAGGUCUGGGGUCUGUGUGAACACAGGCUUCUUAAGGCAGUGCUGAAGAUCAACUCAUCGCUGAAGCAUCGCCUCAUGUUUGGUUUGAGCUCAUCCUGCUGCUUGUUACUCUCUCCAAGAGUUUUUGUAUUACCUGUGUUUUUGUAUUUACCUGUUUGCAGAAAACAGUCUCCAGCACGUUUUUGCCUGCUGCCC
Austrofundulus limnaeus is the source of this 415-nucleotide long non-coding RNA. RefSeq lists it as uncharacterized. The record is from RefSeq and is a predicted model, not a curated record. Lineage: Eukaryota; Metazoa; Chordata; Actinopteri; Cyprinodontiformes; Rivulidae. The transcript is spliced from 3 exons.